ACACGACUACAUUAGAUACCCGUGUAGUCCUAGCCGUAAACGAUACUCGCUAGGUGUCGGCCACGGUGCGACCGUUGUCGGUGCCGUAGGGAAGCCGUGAAGCGAGCCACCUGGGAAGUACGGCCGCAAGGCUGAAACUUAAAGGAAUUGGCGGGGGAGCACAACAACGGGUGGAGCUUGCGGUUUAAUUGGAUUCAACGCCGGAAAUCUUACCGGGACCGACAGACAUAUGAUUGUCAAUCUGAAGGUUUUACAUGACUAGCUG
Molecule: ribosomal RNA, 265 nt
Filed under: uncultured archaeon
Lineage: Archaea
Description: partial 16S ribosomal RNA
Rfam family: Archaeal small subunit ribosomal RNA
Source: RNAcentral